AAGUUUUUUCUGCCCGGUGAAUUUUAACGGCCGCGGUAUCCUGACCGUGCAAAGGUAGCAUAAUCACUUGUCCUUUAAUUGGGGGCUAGAAUGAAAGAAAGUUUGAGGCUUUAUCUGUCUCUUUUUUACUAGCAAAAUUUGCUCUUUUUGUGAAGAAGCAAAAGUUCCUUAAAAAGACAAGAAGACCCUAUUAAGCUUAAUCUUUUCAUUUUUAUUUCUUUUUAGUAAAAAUGAAAAGAUUUGGUUGGGGUGACUAAAGAAGACUUGUAUCUUCUUUUUUUAAUAAAACUAUGUGUUUAAGAAUGACCCAAAAUUUUUUGGUUAUAAGAAUUAGUUACUAUAGGGAUAACAGCGUAAUCUUUUCAUAAAGUUCUUAUUGAAGAAAAGGAUUGCGACCUCGA
RNAcentral lists this ribosomal RNA (401 nucleotides) under Lineus longissimus. Its description in RNAcentral is "partial large subunit ribosomal RNA". It matches the Rfam family "Bacterial large subunit ribosomal RNA", at positions 1850 to 2529 of the family's 2925-position model. Lineage: Eukaryota; Metazoa; Nemertea; Pilidiophora; Heteronemertea; Lineidae. The record is from RNAcentral.